Molecule: ribosomal RNA, 564 nt
Filed under: Hygrocybe quieta
Lineage: Eukaryota; Fungi; Basidiomycota; Agaricomycetes; Agaricales; Hygrophoraceae
Description: eukaryotic LSU rRNA
Rfam family: 5.8S ribosomal RNA (bases 179-332)
Source: RNAcentral
AAGGAUCAUUAACGAAAUGCUCGAGGAUGACUUGCUGGCCCUUAGGGGCAUGUGCACUCCUUGAACCAUUCUGACCUUUUUACCACACCUGUGCACCCUUUGUAGGCCGUAAAGGCCUACGUUUUUACAUUUAAAAACCUUGAUGUUAUUUGAAUGUGCUUGUUUGUAAUAAAAACACAACUUUCAACAAUGGAUCUCUUGGCUCUCGCAUCGAUGAAGAACGCAGCGAAAUGCGAUACGUAAUGUGAAUUGCAGAAUUCCGUGAAUCAUUGAAUCUUUGAACGCACCUUGCGCCCUUUGGUAUUCCGAAGGGCAUGCCUGUUUGAGUGUCAUUUAAAUCAUCAACUUGACUUGUUUUACACAGGUCAAAGCUGGAAAGUGGAGAGUGCUGGCCUCUUUUCAAGAGGUUAGCUCCUCUGAAAUGAAUCAGCAAAAGCUUUGAUCCUUUUUGCUCUGACGUUGAUAAGUCUUGUCUGCGUCUUGAGAGGGACAUUGGCGUUUGCUUUAAAUUGUGUAACCUUGACAAAUCACCCUCAAAUCAGGUAGGACACCCGCUGAACUUAA